RNAcentral lists this transfer RNA (21 nucleotides) under Cheilodactylus vittatus. RNAcentral's name for it is "partial tRNA-Glu". RNAcentral also lists the same sequence under 3 other names. Lineage: Eukaryota; Metazoa; Chordata; Actinopteri; Centrarchiformes; Cheilodactylidae. The record is from RNAcentral.
UAAUUCAACUACAAGAACCUA